AGUAACAUGGGCCCAUCACGCCUUGAUGGAAGGAAAACGAACUGAUACUAUCCAAGCAUUAUCCCUAACAAUCUUACUAGGCCUAUACUUUACAGCCCUACAAGCCAGCGAAUAUCACGAAACAUCCUUCACUAUCUCAGACAGCGUCUAUGGCGCAACUUUCUUUGUAGCCACCGGCUUCCACGGCCUACAUGUAAUUAUUGGAUCCCUAUUUCUCACUACCUGCCUCAUUCGACAAUCCUUAUUUCAUUUUACAACAAACCAUCACUUCGGAUUUGAAGCAGCCGCUUGAUACUGACAUUUUGUAGACGUUGUAUGAUUAUUCCUGUAUGUAUCAAUCUACUGAUGAGGCUCUU
Non-coding RNA from Podarcis lilfordi (Lilford's wall lizard), 356 nucleotides. The record is from the annotation of a GenBank genome assembly. NCBI's taxonomy places the organism in Eukaryota, Metazoa, Chordata, Lepidosauria, Squamata, Lacertidae.